CCCAGUUCAAUCCCCAGCACCACCAUAAACCAGUCUUGAGCAGUGCUCUAGUAAAAUGAAAAACAUGUGGAAGUCUUCAUUUAUCUCUGGGAAUUUGGUUUUGGAGGACAAUGGGCUAAUAAUAGGAGAGGACUGAAGAAAACUUUGUAAAUAUUGGGGCUCAUGCUUGGUUAUACUUUUGCUAUUUUUGGAAGACUUAGAGUCUCCACUUAAAGUCAAUUCAUGUUACUUACCUCCAUGCUUUGAAUUUUGCUUUCUGUUUGCUGCCCUCUUGAUCUUGACUUUACUUUGUGUCUAAAGUACACUUUUUCAUUUAUUGGAUAGAGACAGAAAUUGAAGGGAAGAGAGAAAUAGGGAGAGAAAGAAACCUAUAGCACUGCUUCACUGCUUGUUAAGCUUCCUCCAUGCAGGUGGGGAUUAGACCUAAGUACUUACACUAAAAAGGAGACACCACAGCAUCCAAAAUUGCUUUGGUGCCAUAACACCUCCCAUGUGGUACCAGAACUCAAACCUGGGUCACACACAUGGCAAGACAUGAGUGUAGAGGGCAUGAGUGUAGUCAUUUCAUUGUUCCCAAGAAGUUUUAUUGUGUUUCACGCUAUAAAUGAGUAUAUAUGGGAGACUACUAUAUAAGUCUUUGGACCAGUAUUUCUAUUUUUUUUUUUUUCUCCAGGGUUAUUGCUGGGGCUCAGAGCCAACAAAUCCAUUGCUCCUGGUGGCCACCUCCACCCCACCCCCACGUUUUACUGGACAGGACAGAGAAAUUGAGAGGGGAGGAGAAGAGAGGGAGAAAGACACCUGCAGACCUGUUUCACCACUUGUGAAGCGAUCCCCUUGCAGAGUGAAUAAUCUUUAACAGCUGGGAAGAGCCCAGGACAGUCUUAUGAGCACACCAGUGAUGCAGAAUCUGCAGUCAGAGCCCAGUGGUUCUCAGGCAUGCGCAGGUACUAACAAAGCAGUGUGUAACUUUGCAGAACACAUAAUGAAAAAGACAAAGCUCUGAUAUACAAUUUAGCUCUGUAUUGUAGUUAUGUUUCUGUAAUGGAGCAGUUAGAGUUGGUCAGAUUAUUGAAGUCCUACAAUGAACAACAAAGCUAAAAAAGAAAAGAAAAGAAGGCUGGGGAGACAGUAUAGUGGUUCUGCAAAUGACUUUCAUAGCUGAGCCUCUUGAGCUCUCAGAAUUCAAUCCCCAGCACUAACAUAAGCCUGAGCUGAGCAGUGCUGUGGGAGGAAAAAGAAAACACAAAGCAGGGGCCAGGUGGCGGCGCGUAUGGUUGAGUACAUACAUUACAGUGCACAAGGACUGGGGCUCGAAGUCCCCGUCCUCACCUGUAGGGGAUACUUUAUGAUUGGCGAAGCAGUGUUGCAGGUGUCUCCCUCCCAUUUUCUAAUCUUGUUGUCUCUAUCCAAAAAUAAAUAAAAAGAUUAAUCAAAGUAUUAUAUAUAAAAAAGAAUGUAAAUCAAA
Erinaceus europaeus (western European hedgehog) is the source of this 1465-nucleotide long non-coding RNA. RefSeq lists it as uncharacterized. NCBI's taxonomy places the organism in Eukaryota, Metazoa, Chordata, Mammalia, Eulipotyphla, Erinaceidae. The transcript is spliced from 2 exons. The record is from RefSeq and is a predicted model, not a curated record.